AGUGAACGCUGGCGGUAGGCCUAACACAUGCAAGUCGAACGGCAGCACAGUAAGAGCUUGCUCUUACGGGUGGCGAGUGGCGGACGGGUGAGGAAUACAUCGGAAUCUACUUUUUCGUGGGGGAUAACGUAGGGAAACUUACGCUAAUACCGCAUACGACCUACGGGUGAAAGCAGGGGAUCUUCGGACCUUGCGCGAUUGAAUGAGCCGAUGUCGGAUUAGCUAGUUGGCGGGGUAAAGGCCCACCAAGGCGACGAUCCGUAGCUGGUCUGAGAGGAUGAUCAGACACACUGGAACUGAGACACGGUCCAGACUCCUACGGGAGGCAGCAGUGGGGAAUAUUGGACAAUGGGCGCAAGCCUGAUCCAGCCAUACCGCGUGAGUGAAGAAGGCCUUCGGGUUGUAAAGCCCUUUUGUCGGGAAAGAAAAGCAGCAGGUUAAUACCCCGCUGUUCUGACGGUACCCAAAGAAUAAGCACCGGCUAACUUCGUG
This 492-nucleotide ribosomal RNA is filed under the name uncultured bacterium. RNAcentral describes it as "partial 16S ribosomal RNA". It matches the Rfam family "Bacterial small subunit ribosomal RNA", at positions 29 to 507 of the family's 1533-position model. The record is from RNAcentral.